This 1430-nucleotide ribosomal RNA is filed under the name Scinax auratus. RNAcentral describes it as "partial 16S large subunit ribosomal RNA". It matches the Rfam family "Bacterial large subunit ribosomal RNA", at positions 260 to 2597 of the family's 2925-position model. The record is from RNAcentral. Lineage: Eukaryota; Metazoa; Chordata; Amphibia; Anura; Hylidae.
GCUAAAAAUCUAGCCCAAAUAAACCCUAAUGUGACCCUCACACUCUCUUUCAUAAACUAAAACAUUUUUUCCCAUUCUAGUAAAGGAGAUUGAAAAAGAUUACCGAAGCAAUAGACAUAGUACCGCAAGGGAAAGAUGAAAUAAAAAUGAAAAACCACAAGCAAAAAAAAGUAGAGACUUACCCUCGUACCUUUUGCAUCAUGGUUCAAUUAGUCUAAUCAAGCAAAAAGAAUUAAAGUUUGACCCCCCGAAACUAAGCGAGCUACUUCGAGGCAGCUUUUUGAGCUAACCCGUCUCUGUGGCAAAAGAGUGGGAUGACCUCCAAGUAGCGGUGACAGACCUAACGAGCUUAGUGAUAGCUGGUUACUCAAGAAAAGGAUUUUAGUCCAGCUUAAAGCUUUUUUAAAUCUACUAAAAUUUUUACCAGGCUUUAAAGUAAUUCAAAUAAGGUACAGCCUAUUUGAAACAGGAAACAACCUCACCCGACGGGUACAAUCUACCAUUCUACAUCCUCCACCAGUUGGCCUAAAAGCAGCCACCUAUAAAAAAGCGUCACAGCUUAAUCUGGUUUACUUGUUCAAUUCCUCCUAUCAUUUUUAACCCUCCCCCUCUACUGAGUAAUUCUAUACCCCUAUAGAAGGUUUUCUGUUGAAACUAGUAACAAGAAGGAAGACCUUCUCUUUAGUGCAAACAUAAAUCAGAAAGGACACACCACUGACAAUUAACGUCUGUGAAUUCAAAUUAGCAACUUUUUACAAGAAAAACCUACUUAGUCACACGUUAACCUAACACUAGAGCACUCCAAGAAAGAUUAAAAGAAAAAGAAGGAACUCGGCAAACUUUAACCCCGCCUGUUUACCAAAAACAUCGCCUCUUGCAUAAAAAUAAGAGGUCCAGCCUGCCCAGUGACAUGUUCAACGGCCGCGGUAUCCUAACCGUGCGAAGGUAGCGUAAUCACUUGUUCUUUAAAUGGGGACUAGUAUGAAUGGCAUCACGAGGGUUAUACUGUCUCCUUUUUCUAAUCAGUGAAACUAAUCUCCCCGUGAAGAAGCGGGGAUAAAACUAUAAGACGAGAAGACCCUAUGGAGCUUUAAACUCACCUUCAAGUGCCGGCUCCUUUCUACCCAUUUACAAUUACCCAAUCACCAUGAAGACAAGUUUUAGGUUGGGGUGACCGCGGAGCACAAAAAAACCUCCGCAUUGAACUAGGCCUCAAAACCUUGAACAAAGGGCCACGACCCUAUGCACCAAAAAAUUUUCAUCCAUUGACCCAUUUUUAUGACCAAUGAACCAAGUUACCCUAGGGAUAACAGCGCAAUCUGCUCCAAGAGUCCAUAUCGACGAGCGGGUUUACGACCUCGAUGUUGGAUCAGGGUGUCCCAGUGGUGCAGCCGCUACUAAUGGUUCGUUUGUUCAACGAUUAAAACCCU